This 151-nucleotide ribosomal RNA is filed under the name Pycnothelia papillaria. Its description in RNAcentral is "5.8S ribosomal RNA". It matches the Rfam family "5.8S ribosomal RNA". Rfam says of the family: 5.8S ribosomal RNA (5.8S rRNA) is a component of the large subunit of the eukaryotic ribosome. Lineage: Eukaryota; Fungi; Ascomycota; Lecanoromycetes; Lecanorales; Cladoniaceae. RNAcentral also lists the same sequence under 15 other names. The record is from RNAcentral.
CUUUCAACAACGGAUCUCUUGGUUCUGGCAUCGAUGAAGAACGCAGCGAAAUGCGAUAAGUAAUGUGAAUUGCAGAAUUCAGUGAAUCAUCGAAUCUUUGAACGCACAUUGCGCCCCUCGGUAUUCCGGGGGGCAUGCCUGUUCGAGCGUC